GUUCACACUCUAGACGUAGUAAUUUUAUCUCGCCUAUUAGUUGGACCGGUC
This 51-nucleotide ribosomal RNA is filed under the name fungal sp. WkRe_4. RNAcentral's name for it is "28S ribosomal RNA". Lineage: Eukaryota; Fungi. The record is from RNAcentral.